Molecule: unclassified non-coding RNA, 208 nt
Filed under: uncultured fungus
Lineage: Eukaryota; Fungi
Description: sequence contains ITS1
Source: RNAcentral
UUAAUCAUUAUGUCCACUGGACGGAUCAGACGCAAUCAUCACUCCAAGACUUUAGGGCACGCGGGGGGGCGGGGCCGACAAGGGCCCCCACGGCCAGGGCCGCUUCACCCCCCCGAGGCAAUGGCAGAAGACCACAUGGUUUAAGGUAGAGAAGGGCGACGAAGCGCCUGCUUCCUGAAUGAUCCCUCCGCAGGUUCACCUACGGAGA